This is a non-coding RNA of Triticum aestivum (bread wheat), 56 nucleotides long. Lineage: Eukaryota; Viridiplantae; Streptophyta; Magnoliopsida; Poales; Poaceae. The record is from Rfam.
GCUCAGUUGGUAAAGCACAAGGCUCUUAACCUUGUGGACGUGGAUUCAAGCCCCGU